Molecule: ribosomal RNA, 459 nt
Filed under: uncultured bacterium
Lineage: Bacteria
Description: partial 16S ribosomal RNA
Rfam family: Bacterial small subunit ribosomal RNA
Source: RNAcentral
CCUACGGGUGGCAGCAGUGAGGAUUAUUGGUCAAUGGCCGGAAGGCUGAACCAGCCAAGCCGCGUGAAGGACGAAGGUGCCAAGCAUUGUAAACUUCUUCUGUCAAGGGACAAAAUCAGGCUCUAGAGCCUGACCGAGGGUACUUGAAGAAAAAGCAUCGGCUAACCACGUGCCAGCAGCCGCGGUAAUACGGGGGAGGCGAGGGUUAUCGGGAUUUAUGGGGGUUAACGGGUGGGUAGGGGGACGGUUAAGUCAGCGGUAAAAGCCCGGGGCUCAACCCCGGCGAGCCGUUGAAACUGGCUGUCUUGAGAUGUCGAGAGGUAUGCGGAAUGCGCGGUGUAGCGGUGAAAUGCUUAGAUAUUGGGCAGAACUCCGGUUGCGAAGGCAGCAUACCGGCGGCGAUCUGACGCUGAGGCACGAAAGCGUGGGUAUCGAACAGGAUUAGAUACCCCAGUAGUC